GAAAAAAAAGACAGAAGAAAAAAAAACUAAGGAAACCCAAUAAGCAGCGAUCGAAGCUUUAACUCAGAAAGAGCGAAAAGCUCAGACAUUCAAAUCCGACGGCAAUACGAGAAAGCCACACAAGAAGAAUCCAAGAUUUUUGGGUUCAUACAAUCGAAGACACAGACACGAACUAAAGAACCGAAGAAGAUUCAUUUUAGUUUCGUCAAGUUGGCUAGAGCCUCGUUGCGCUGUUUCUUCUUCGAGAGGGUGACCUCAAAGCUAGGGUUUUUGAAAUUUGAGGGCUUUUGUGUGAGUUGGUCUGUGGAUAUGAUCUUUAGGGUUUUGGUUCUGAGGAAGAUGAGAUUUGGGUUUGCAUUGUAUGGAUUUGGGAAUUGCUAGUUCUUCAGAUACAUAAAUCAAUUUGCAUUUGAAGGAGUUUGUGUGAAGGGAUAUAGAAGUUGAGAGAGUGCGUCUGUGCACUCUCCCACUGUUCAUCUAGAUUUGUUGAAGAAGAAGAAGAAGAAAAGAAAAAAAAGUAAACUUUUUGGUGAGAGUAAGUAAUGAUGCAACGCUCUCAAGAGGAGAGGGUUGAUUUGGGUGAAUUGAAAGGGCAUAUAGUGAAGAAGAUUGGUGUUGAAAGAUCAAGAAGGUAUUUUUAUUAUCUAAGCAGGUUUCUAAGUCAGAAGUUGACUAAGAGUGAGUUUGAUAAGACAUGUUUGAGGUUGUUAGGGAGGGAGAAUCUCUCUCUACAUAACCAGUUGAUCCGUUCUGUUUUGAGAAAUGCAACUGUUGCCAAGUCUCCACCACCAGAUCAUGAAGCUGGUCAUUCGACUAAACCUUUGGCUAAUGCUGUUCAGAGUAGAGGAGAUGGUCCUGAACAAAGUGGAUCUUUGAUUCCUAACCAUAACCAGAAUGAAGCUGUAUGGUCCAACGGGGUUUUGCCCAUCUCUCCGCGGAAAGUUAGGUCUGGAAUGCGUGACAGGAAGAGCAGAGAUAGGCCUAGUCCACUAGGGUCAAAUGGGAAGGUUGAACAUAUGCUGCAUCAGCCAGUUUGUAGAGAAGACAAUAGAGGUAGUGUUGUUGGUAUGGAAAAUGGGGAUUUGGGUCAAUUUGAGUGUCAAAGAUCAGGGAGAUAUGGUGCUGAUGAAAGAGAUGGUGAGUUUCUUCGUCCUGUGGAAAAACCGAGAAUGCCAAAUAAGGAAAAGGUUGCAACUGCAUCUAUGAGAGAUGAUGGAAAUCAAGAAGAGCAGGCUAGGCUAAAUCUAUCAAUGAGUCCUUUGAUUGCACCUCUAGGGAUUCCUUUUUGUUCAGCUAGUGUUGGUGGGUCUCGUAGAACGGUUCCUGUUUCUACCAGCGCUGAGAUAAGUAGUUGCUAUGCCAGUGGUGGAUUACCCGCUGUAGAGAUGCUGAAGAAAAGGAUGGAGAAUAUUGCAGUAGCACAGGGUCUUGAAGGGGUUUCAUUGGAGUGUGCUAAUACGUUGACUAACAUGUUGGAUGUGUAUCUGAAGAAGCUGGUCAAAUCAUGCGUUGAUUUGGUUGGAGCGCGGUCCAGAAAUGGAGAUCCUGGCAAACAAACUAUAGACAAGCAGCAGAGUCAAAACAAGAUUGUAAAUGGUGUGUGGCCAAGUAACAGUAUGCAAAUACAAACUCCCAAUGGGCCUUCUGACAUAACACAAGAUCGUCGUUCUGUGUCUCUGCUUGAUUUUAGAACUGCCAUGGAGUUAAAUCCACAACAGCUUGGCGAAAACUGGCCAAUUCUACAGGAGAGAAUUUCUAUGCGGUCUUUUGAGGAACAAGACUUUGAGGUGUGAAAGAAAAUAUUUGGCAUGCAUAUUGAUGUUACAUGUUGUUCUGAUUCAGCCUGCUCUUGUCCAGAAAGGGACAGCUAAUUUUGAAUGCAAAAAGAUUUACUGUGUAGUUCCAUAAUGAAGCGGAAAGAGUUGUAUUUAUGAGUUCUGAGCUGAAAAGCACAGCGUUACGACUGCAGCAACAGACUCAGAGCAGGUUGGUAGAUUAUUAAAAUGGAACUAAUCUCAAAGAACCGUAUAAAGAUACGUGUUGUUGGUUGCCAUGUUGUAAGAUUAUCACUAAUUGGCAAUCUCAAAGAGUUUCGAGUUUUGUGUGUAAACGCGAGGCGAAUAAGGGAAUUGGGGAGAGGGCAGAGAUUUUGUGCUUUCAAUUCGGUGCAAGCUUCUCGUCCGAUCCAGAAUGAAAUAAUCUGGUCAAUUGUCGAAAACCGGUUGAGAUCUUUUGCAUUUCGUGUUGAUGGUGCUCACUUGGGUCAAAAUAUUGGAUCUGUGAUUUUUCUUCUAGUUGGAAAACAUUAAUGGGAUACAUAUGCUUGUGCUGUGUUACAUAUACCAUGAGCUUUAUGGCGACGAUGGUAGUUAGAACAUGUUUGUCCUGUAACUGUAAGUCAAUGCUAAAAGAUAUCAACGCAGAAGAACUUAGCGAAUGAGC
RNA transcript from Capsella rubella, 2442 nucleotides. RefSeq lists it as uncharacterized. The record is from RefSeq and is a predicted model, not a curated record. Lineage: Eukaryota; Viridiplantae; Streptophyta; Magnoliopsida; Brassicales; Brassicaceae. The transcript is spliced from 3 exons.